CAGUCGCCGCGGUAAUACGGAGGGUGCAAGCGUUAAUCGGAAUUACUGGGCGUAAAGCGCACGCAGGCGGUCUGACAAGUCAGAUGUGAAAUCCCCGGGCUUAACCUGGGAACUGCAUUUGAAACUGUCAGGCUGGAGUCUUGUAGAGGGGGGUGGAAUUCCAGGUGUAGCGGUGAAAUGCGUAGAGAUCUGGAGGAAUACCGGUGGCGAAGGCGGCCCCCUGGACAAAGACUGACGCCCAGGUGCGAAAGCGUGGGGAGCAAACAGGAUUAGAUACCCGAGUAGUCCCUGUCUCUUAUAC
Molecule: ribosomal RNA, 301 nt
Filed under: uncultured bacterium
Lineage: Bacteria
Description: partial 16S ribosomal RNA
Rfam family: Bacterial small subunit ribosomal RNA
Source: RNAcentral